Mobula hypostoma (lesser devil ray) is the source of this 265-nucleotide non-coding RNA. RefSeq annotates it as small Cajal body-specific RNA 6. The transcript has a single exon. Lineage: Eukaryota; Metazoa; Chordata; Chondrichthyes; Myliobatiformes; Myliobatidae. The record is from RefSeq and is a predicted model, not a curated record.
GGUCAAUGAUGACAGGUAAAAGGUCUGAUUGUACAGAGCUUUGUUCCCCAUCCUCACUCCCAGGAAACCCUCUAUUUUCUAUCCAGCUGUAGGCUUGCUGUGUUGAUCAAGGGGUUCCUGACAGUAAUUGAUGCUGCUGUUUCAGAGCACUUCGAGAAACCGUGUGCAUAUCUGCAGUGAGCAUUUGACAUAAUUGAUUACUCAGGAGUGUUUGGUGUUGUGGGAUUUGUCUCUGCUGCCUGACUGCAAACUCUAAACUGAGACC